Molecule: ribosomal RNA, 303 nt
Filed under: uncultured bacterium
Lineage: Bacteria
Description: partial 16S ribosomal RNA
Rfam family: Bacterial small subunit ribosomal RNA
Source: RNAcentral
AGCAGCCGCCGCGGUAAUACGAAGGGUGCAAGCGUUAAUCGGAAUUACUGGGCGUAAGCGUGCGUAGGCGGUGAGUUAAGUCUGCUGUGAAAUCCCCGGGCUCAACCUGGGAAUGGCAGUGGAUACUGGCUCGCUAGAGUGUGUCAGAGGAUGGUGGAAUUCCCGGUGUAGCGGUGAAAUGCGUAGAGAUCGGGAGGAACAUCAGUGGCGAAGGCGGCCAUCUGGGACAACACUGACGCUGAGGCACGAAAGCGUGGGGAGCAAACAGGAUUAGAUACCCCAGUAGUCCCUGUCUCUUAUACC